UCCGUAGGUGAACCUGCGGAGGGAUCAUUACACAAUAACAAUACGAAGGCCGUUCGCGGCUGGACUAUUUUAUUACCCUUGUCUUUUGCGCACUUGUUGUUUCCUGGGCGGGUUCGCUCGCCACCAGGACCACCAUAUAAACCUUUUUUAUGCAGUUGCAAUCAGCGUCAGUAUAACAAAUGUAAAUCAUUUACAACUUUCAACAACGGAUCUCUUGGUUCUGGCAUCGAUGAAGAACGCAGCGAAAUGCGAUACGUAGUGUGAAUUGCAGAAUUCAGUGAAUCAUCGAAUCUUUGAACGCACAUUGCGCCCUUUGGUAUUCCAAAGGGCAUGCCUGUUCGAGCGUCAUUUGUACCCUCAAGCUUUGCUUGGUGUUGGGCGUUUUUGUCCUUGGGUUCGCCCAAAGACUCGCCUUAAAAUGAUUGGCAGCCGGCCUACUGGUUUCGCAGCGCAGCACAUUUUUGCGCUUGCAAUCAGCAAAAGAGGACGGCAAUCCAUCAAGACUCCAUCUCACGUUUGACCUCGGAUCAGGUAGGGAUACCCGCUGAACUUAAGCAUAUCAAUAAGCGGAGGAAAAG
This 578-nucleotide ribosomal RNA is filed under the name Curvularia hawaiiensis. RNAcentral describes it as "eukaryotic LSU rRNA". The stretch from base 195 to 348 matches the Rfam family "5.8S ribosomal RNA". The record is from RNAcentral. Lineage: Eukaryota; Fungi; Ascomycota; Dothideomycetes; Pleosporales; Pleosporaceae.